GGUGAGUGUGUGAUAUAUGAAGAAGAGAGCUUGUAGAGGGAGAAAGUGUGCUCAUUGUAAGUAACUUUAGUGUGAAUUAAUCAAUACAAGUAUACACUUCCACAACUCUUGCGUCUCUUCGUGCCACUUUCGUGAAUUUACUUCCGCUAGCGUAUUUGCUAUCAUUCUGCCGGGUUUGGCAAUCAAGGGUAGGCUGACUAGCUAUCUUGAAUUUCGGGGAAGUCAAGCAAGCUAGGCCGCACGUGGGCAAAGUUUUGGAGAUAAAACAAAACUCACGUGACAGCAGUGGCUGCCUGGCCUGCGAGGAUUCUCGCCAACGGGCCCGAUGGACGCGCUGCCUCGGCA
This 345-nucleotide long non-coding RNA is filed under the name Ricinus communis (castor bean). Its description in RNAcentral is "long non-coding RNA (RCOM_LNC003544)". The record is from RNAcentral. Lineage: Eukaryota; Viridiplantae; Streptophyta; Magnoliopsida; Malpighiales; Euphorbiaceae.